CUUAUGGCGGAUAAGCGCAAUAGAUUUAAGCUCUAUAUAUAAUUUAUAAUUUAAGGGUA
This 59-nucleotide transfer RNA is filed under the name Lernaea cyprinacea. RNAcentral describes it as "tRNA-Leu". The record is from RNAcentral. Lineage: Eukaryota; Metazoa; Arthropoda; Copepoda; Cyclopoida; Lernaeidae.